RNAcentral lists this ribosomal RNA (465 nucleotides) under Vreelandella stevensii. Its description in RNAcentral is "partial 16S ribosomal RNA". It matches the Rfam family "Bacterial small subunit ribosomal RNA", at positions 338 to 795 of the family's 1533-position model. Lineage: Bacteria; Pseudomonadati; Pseudomonadota; Gammaproteobacteria; Oceanospirillales; Halomonadaceae. The record is from RNAcentral.
CCUACGGGUGGCAGCAGUGGGGAAUAUUGGACAAUGGGGGCAACCCUGAUCCAGCCAUGCCGCGUGUGUGAAGAAGGCCCUCGGGUUGUAAAGCACUUUCAGUGAGGAAGAACGCCUGGUGGUUAAUACCCAUCAGGAAAGACAUCACUCACAGAAGAAGCACCGGCUAACUCCGUGCCAGCAGCCGCGGUAAUACGGAGGGUGCGAGCGUUAAUCGGAAUUACUGGGCGUAAAGCGCGCGUAGGUGGCUUGAUAAGCCGGUUGUGAAAGCCCCGGGCUCAACCUGGGAACGGCAUCCGGAACUGUCAAUCUAGAGUGCAGGAGAGGAAGGUAGAAUUACCGGUGUAGCGGUGAAAUGCGUAGAGAUCGGGAGGAAUACCAGUGGCGAAGGCGGCCUUCUGGACUGACACUGACACUGAGGUGCGAAAGCGUGGGUAGCAAACAGGAUUAGAUACCCCAGUAGUC